AUCUUUGCAAGUACCUCAGUGCUGGUGAUUGUAAGGGAAAACUUCAUAUCUAUUACCUACAAACUUCUGAUUAUUCAUGCUUUCAGGGUGCUCAUGACUCAAGUAAAAAGGAGGCUAAUUCUGAAGAAGCCACAGAUAGACAGUCCUUCCUUGCAUCAGGGGGCCACUAUUGAAUGAUCCAUCUUCAUGAUGUCAGUAGGGAAAAUGUCAUAUCUCAAUUGGGAGAGGUUGAAGAAGAAUAGGGUCAAAGCCGAAGUUCGACAUGGAGAGA
Molecule: long non-coding RNA, 271 nt
Organism: Quercus lobata
Lineage: Eukaryota; Viridiplantae; Streptophyta; Magnoliopsida; Fagales; Fagaceae
Exons: 3
Source: RefSeq, a predicted model, not a curated record